This 1412-nucleotide ribosomal RNA is filed under the name metagenome. RNAcentral describes it as "bacterial LSU rRNA". It matches the Rfam family "Bacterial large subunit ribosomal RNA", at positions 1169 to 2489 of the family's 2925-position model. The record is from RNAcentral.
UAUGUAACGGGGCUCAAGUUCAGUACCGAAGCCGCGGAUGCGACUCUUUGAGUCGUGUGGUAGCGGAGCGUCGAGCGUGCAGCGAAGCGGCGGGACAACCCAGCCGUGGAGCGCGUUCGAGUGCGAAUGUUGGCAUGAGUAGCGAAUGAGGGGUGAGAACCCCCUCCGCCGUAUGUCCAAGGGUUCCUGGGCGAGGCCAAUCCUCCCAGGGUGAGUCGGGAGCUAAGGCGAGGCCGAGAGGCGUAGUCGAUGCACAACUGGUUGAUAUUCCAGUACCACCAUGUUCGCGUCCGUCCCAAUACUCUGUUGCUAAGGGGCUGUGUUGACUUCGGUCAACGCGAACCGACCCACAUUGUUGCGGGAAGCUGUAGGGGGACGCAGGAAGGUAGAUGAACCCGGUGAAUGGUAGUACCGGGGUAAGCGCGUAGGAGGAGGACCAGGUAAAUCCGGGCCUCAUAAACUCUGAGACGUGAUACCGAGCCGCUUCAGGCGAAGUCAUUGAUCCUAUGCUGCCUAGAAAAGCCCAGCAGCGAGUUGACAUGGUGCCCGUACCCCAAACCAACACAGGUGGACAGGUAGAGCAUACCAAGGCGAGUGGGAUAACUAUGGUUAAGGAACUCGGCAAAUUGCCUCCGUAACUUCGGGAGAAGGAGGACCCCAGUAGCGUGAUGAGACUUGCUCUCUGAGCGUGAAGGGGUGGCACAAAAUUGAGGGAAGCGACUGUUUACCAAAAACACAGCAGCGUGCUAAGCCGUAAGGCGCUGUAUACGCUGUGACUCCUGCCCGGUGCUGGAAGGUUACGGGGAUGGGUUAGUCCUUCGGGACGAAGCUCUGAACCUAAGCCCCAGUAAACGGCGGCCGUAACUAUAACGGUCCUAAAGUAGCGAAAUUCCUUGUCGGGUAAGUUCCGACCUGCACGAAUGGAGUAACGACUUCCCUACUGUCUCAACCAUAGACCCAGCGAAAUUGAAGUACGAGUAAAGAUGCUCGUUAGCUGCAGAAGGACGGAAAGACCCCGUGGACCUUUACUAUAACUUGAUGUUGUGUUUUGUCAUAUGUUGUGUAGGAUGUGGGAGACUUGGAAGCAUGGACGCUAGUCUGUGUGGAGUCAUCGUUGAAAUACCACCCUGCAUAUGGUGAGGCUCUAACCUAGACCCGUUAUCCGGGUUGGGGACAGCGUCAGGCGGGUAGUUUAACUGGGGCGGUUGCCUCCUAAAGAGUAACGGAGGCGCCCAAAGGUUCCCUCAGCCUGGUUGGCAAUCAGGCGUUGAGUGCAAUGGCAAAAGGGAGCUUGACUACGAGACCUACAAGUCGAGCAGGAGCGAAAGCUGGGCAUAGUGAUCCGGCGGUUGCGUGUGGAAGCGCCGUCGCUCAACGGAUAAAAGGUACCCCGGGGAUAACAGGCUAAUCUU